RNAcentral lists this microRNA (20 nucleotides) under Haemonchus contortus (barber pole worm). RNAcentral describes it as "hco-miR-5940". Lineage: Eukaryota; Metazoa; Nematoda; Chromadorea; Rhabditida; Trichostrongylidae. The record is from miRBase by way of RNAcentral.
GGAGGGAGUGUGGGCUCGGC